GACGAACGCUGGCGGCGUGCUUAACACAUGCAAGUCGAACGGAAAGGCCCUGCUUUUGUGGGGUGCUCGAGUGGCGAACGGGUGAGUAACACGUGAGUAACCUGCCCUUGACUUUGGGAUAACUUCAGGAAACUGGGGCUAAUAUCGGAUAGGAGCUCCUGCUGCAUGGUGGGGGUUGGAAAGUUUCGGCGGUUGGGGAUGGCCUCGCGGCUUAUCAGCUUGUUGGUGGGGUAGUGGCUUACCAAGGCUUUGACGGGUAGCCGGCCUGAGAGGGUGACCGGCCACAUUGGGACUGAGAUACGGCCCAGACUCCUACGGGAGGCAGCAGGGGGGAAUAUUGCACAAUGGGCGGAAGCCUGAUGCAGCAACGCCGCGUGCGGGAUGACGGCCUUCGGGUUGUAAACCGCUUUCGCCUGUGACGAAGCGUGAGUGACGGUAAUGGGUAAAGAAGCACCGGCUAACUACGUG
This 468-nucleotide ribosomal RNA is filed under the name uncultured bacterium. Its description in RNAcentral is "partial 16S ribosomal RNA". It matches the Rfam family "Bacterial small subunit ribosomal RNA", at positions 28 to 507 of the family's 1533-position model. The record is from RNAcentral.